RNAcentral lists this ribosomal RNA (421 nucleotides) under uncultured fungus. Its description in RNAcentral is "SSU rRNA". It matches the Rfam family "Eukaryotic small subunit ribosomal RNA", at positions 234 to 651 of the family's 1831-position model. The record is from RNAcentral. Lineage: Eukaryota; Fungi.
GCGUCGCGUCUUGUGAUCAUAAUAACUUCUCGAAUCGCAUGGCCUUGUGUGGCGAUGCUUCAUUCAAAUAUCUGCCCUAUCAACUUUCGAUGGUAGGAUAGUUGGCCUACCAUGGUUUCAACGGGUAACGGGGAAUAAGGGUUCUAUUCCGGAGAGGGAGCCUGAGAAACGGCUACCACAUCCAAGGAAGGCAGCAGGCGCGCAAAUUACCCAAUCCCGAUGCGGGGAGGUAGUGACAAUAAAUACUGAUAUCAGGGCCUCUUUUGGGUCUUGUAAUUGGAAUGAGUACAAUUUAAAUCCCAUUAACGAGGAACAAUUGGAGGGCAGUCUGGUGCCAGCAGCCGCGGUAAUUCCAGCUCCAAUAGCGGUAUAUUAAAGUUGUUGCAGUUUAAAAAGCUCGUAGUUUGAACUUCAGACCUGA